CGGGCAGGUGGUCCGUUAAGUCGUCUGUGAAAAUCCGGGGCUCAACCCUGUGAAAUGCAGGCGAUACUGGCGGACUGGAGAUCGGUAGAGGCUAACGGAAUUCCUGGUGUAGCGGUGGAAUGCGUAGAUAUCAGGAAGAACACCCGUGGCGAAGGCGGUUAGCUGGGCCGAAUCUGACACUCAUCCGCGAAAGCGUGGGGAGCAAACA
RNAcentral lists this ribosomal RNA (208 nucleotides) under uncultured bacterium. RNAcentral's name for it is "partial 16S ribosomal RNA". It matches the Rfam family "Bacterial small subunit ribosomal RNA", at positions 568 to 774 of the family's 1533-position model. The record is from RNAcentral.